This 497-nucleotide ribosomal RNA is filed under the name uncultured bacterium. RNAcentral describes it as "partial 16S ribosomal RNA". It matches the Rfam family "Bacterial small subunit ribosomal RNA", at positions 28 to 507 of the family's 1533-position model. The record is from RNAcentral.
GAUGAACGCUGGCGGCGUGCCUAAUACAUGCAAGUCGAGCGAACGGACGAGGAGCUUGCUCCUCUGACGUUAGCGGCGGACGGGUGAGUAACACGUGGAUAACCUACCUAUAAGACUGGGAUAACUUCGGGAAACCGGAGCUAAUACCGGAUAAUAUAUUGAACCGCAUGGUUCAAUAGUGAAAGACGGUUUUGCUGUCACUUAUAGAUGGAUCCGCGCCGCAUUAGCUAGUUGGUAAGGUAACGGCUUACCAAGGCGACGAUGCGUAGCCGACCUGAGAGGGGGAUCGGCCACACUGGAACUGAGACACGGUCCAGACUCCUACGGGAGGCAGCAGUAGGGAAUCUUCCGCAAUGGGCGAAAGCCUGACGGAGCAACGCCGCGUGAGUGAUGAAGGUCUUCGGAUCGUAAAACUCUGUUAUUAGGGAAGAACAAAUGUGUAAGUAACUAUGCACGUCUUGACGGUACCUAAUCAGAAAGCCACGGCUAACUACGUG